GACGAACGCUGGCGGCAUGCCUAACACAUGCAAGUCGAACGGUAAGGCCUCUUCGGAGGUACACGAGUGGCGAACGGGUGAGUAACACGUGGGUAACCUGCCCUUCACUGGGGGACAACCGAGGGAAACUUCGGCUAAUACCGCAUAACGUGCGCUGUUUUAAGACGGCGUACCAAAACUCCGGUGGUGAAGGAUGGGCCCGCGCCAGAUUAGCUUGUUGGGUGGGGUAAUGGCCUACCAAGGCGACGAUCGUAGCUGGUCUGAGAGGACGAUCAGCCACACUGGAACUGAGACACGGUCCAGACUCCUACGGGAGGGCAGCAGUGGGGAAUUUUGCGCAAUGGGGGGAAACCCGUGACGCAGCAACGCCGCGUGGAGGAUGAAGUCCCUUGGGACGUAAACUCCUUUCGAUCGGGACGAUUAUG
Molecule: ribosomal RNA, 425 nt
Filed under: uncultured bacterium
Lineage: Bacteria
Description: bacterial SSU rRNA
Rfam family: Bacterial small subunit ribosomal RNA
Source: RNAcentral